Molecule: long non-coding RNA, 287 nt
Organism: Copidosoma floridanum
Lineage: Eukaryota; Metazoa; Arthropoda; Insecta; Hymenoptera; Encyrtidae
Source: RefSeq, a predicted model, not a curated record
AGCUGAGUAUAAUCCAGUUUGUGGAACAGACAACAAAAUGUAUAAUAAUCCAUCAUAUUUAGCGUGCGAAAGAGAAUGUAGAUCACGUGUACAAGUAAAAAAUGUUGGUCGAUGCCCGAGUUCCUAAGUAUCGUAUAUUUUUUUUAAAUAUACUAAGUCAAUAAAAUGUACCCAUUAAACUAAAUGUUUAUUUAAGAAUUGAUGUAAAGUGUAUAUUCCUGUAAAGUACUGAACCUUGUAAGAAAAUGUAACUAAAUUUUUGGACAUAUUAAAGAUUUUACACUCAA